RNA transcript from Tupaia belangeri chinensis (Chinese tree shrew), 626 nucleotides. It is a transcript of the gene named binder of sperm protein homolog 2, with no coding region annotated. The record is from RefSeq and is a predicted model, not a curated record. The transcript is spliced from 5 exons. NCBI's taxonomy places the organism in Eukaryota, Metazoa, Chordata, Mammalia, Scandentia, Tupaiidae.
CUACGGUGCAUGCCAUCUGCCAGCAAUUGGAGGGGAUGAAAAAUCUCGUGUUCUGGGUGUCGCUGGCUGUCUGUACGUGUGGGCUGAACGCAGACUUGGUUGCCCAUUUACACCCUCCGUAUCAAGAAAUUCCUGACACUCCCUGUGUUUUUCCAUUUAUUUACGGUGAUGUUACCCACUAUAAUUGCAUCUCCGUCCACAGCGACUUUCUUUGGUGUUCUCUGGACAGUCAUUUCCAAGGCAGGUGGCGGUACUGCAAGGCUUUGGAUCCUCCCGAGUGUUCCUUCCCCUUCUUAUUCAGAAAGAAGUUCAUUUACAAAUGUACGAAGGACGGCUAUAUUCUGGAUCGGAGUUGGUGUUCAUUGACAAAAAAUUACAACAAAGAUGGAAAGUGGAAGCAAUGUUCUCCUCAGAAGUAAGAUGCUUGGGACAUAAUGGGGUGGAAAGUUCACAGCUCUCUGGAAGCAGGGAACCCUCUGGAUUACUGCAGGUGGUAGCUUGAGCGAUUAGAUUUCUUGGUGUUCUUGAAGAGUCAGAAGUUAUAGACUCAUCAGCUGCCUCUCAAGAUACACUUCUAUCCUUUCCAUUUAUGACCAUUCUUAUCAAUAAAUAUUUGACCACUUUUC